This is a non-coding RNA of Megalopta genalis, 1170 nucleotides long. Lineage: Eukaryota; Metazoa; Arthropoda; Insecta; Hymenoptera; Halictidae. The record is from RefSeq and is a predicted model, not a curated record.
UAUUUUUACCUAAUUAAUUUGAUAUUUACAGGUACCCGCCUUUUCUAAAUUGAUUUUAUAGUCGUUUCAAGAAAUAUUGGAGAGUCAAUCGAGGAAAAUGGUUAAACUUGGAAAGAAAUUUUGCAUUAAAAUUUUGAAAGAUGUCUUCUCAUAUCUUUGGUACCUGCCUUUUUUUUCUAAAUUGAUUUCAUAAUCGUUUCAAGAAAUAUUGAAGAGUCAAUCGAGGAAAAUGGUUAAACUUGGAAAGAAAUUUUGCAUUAAAAUUUUGAAAGAUGUCUUCUCAUAUCUUUGGUCGAAAAUAGGUUUGAAUUUCUUCGAACAUUUUCUUGUAUCAAGUGUGAAAAGCUGCCAAGUUUUAAACGUCGAAUAGUUCCAGAGGAUAAUCGAGAAGCAUCGCUUACCUCGGGUACCGGAUACGGGAUCGGAAUUGGUUUGUGAAUGAUCUUCUCGACCGGCACCGGGAUCACCUUCUCCACCGGCACGUGAUACGGUUUUUCGAUGAUGACCGGCUCGGGAACCGGAACUGGCUUUUCCAGGACCACGUGCUUCGUGAUAUACACCGGAAUCGCUUUCAAAGAAAUCGCCGGAGCUCUACCAUACGGUAUGCCACCGUACAAUCUAUAUGAAAAGAAAUAUGCGUCGUUGAAUUAUCCUUCCGAAGUAAUCCUAAGUGAAUUAUUAUUUCAUUCAUGUAUAUCGGACUGUUUGUUUUCAGAGAAAAGUCGUUAAGAUUUUUGUGCUAUUACCCUCCGUGGGCUAAAUCGAAAGAGGGGAACCUCAGCCCUUUCCAACCGUGAUCGCCUGCCCACGGAAGCCCGUGACCGUAUCCGUGAUGAUUUGGUAUACCAACCCAUCCGCCGGCAUCGAGGAUACCUCGUUUAUUUUGUUUAGAUUCGCUUGUUGUUUCCGUCGAGAACACGGAGCCGCAAAAGAGUAUCAGAAACAGCUAAAAUUAAAUUCAUCCCAAGCCUCGUUAUCAGGAAUUUCUGUAAUUUCUCUCGCUCUGCCGAUGCAACUUGUUAAACAACGCGACACGUGUUCACACUUUAGGCAAUUCUAUUCGUCGAGUACGCAGUCGACUUGAUAAAUAUUUUUGAGAACUCGGUGUGCAAUUGAGACAAUAUGUAUAUAGUAAUGUCUCCCUAACUGACGCUCAGGUUGUGCACAAAA